This is a long non-coding RNA of Chinchilla lanigera (long-tailed chinchilla), 1174 nucleotides long. RefSeq lists it as uncharacterized. The record is from RefSeq and is a predicted model, not a curated record. NCBI's taxonomy places the organism in Eukaryota, Metazoa, Chordata, Mammalia, Rodentia, Chinchillidae. The transcript has 4 exons.
GCCCGCGGACAAGCUCCUCCAGAACCAACAGCGCCUUACAGCUUCUCUUCCUCCCCAGUUCUCCUUUUUAUGCUGUUGCAACAGACCUCAGGUGGGGCCCCCACCCCCGGCACCUCGCUGGUUCGGUUCAGCUGGGCGUUACAAGUUGACCACCGGUUGUCAUCCGCCACAGUUGCCCUCAGACACCCCCAGCCCCCCACCCCAUGUGCUUCAAACACUCACCCCAUCGCUCUUGCCGCUUUGUGACAUGGUUCUGGAAGUCCUCGCGCCUGAGUGUCUUCACAAGGUGAGAUCAGAUCUGCAGCACACACUGCACCGACUGCCACCCAGCGGAAAGGCAGGCUCCCCUGCCACACGCUUUACUGCUGGACCUGGCAUCGGGCAGCUUCCGGCUCGUCCCUAGUGUCGAGGUGACUGAAGGGUGAACAUUCUGAAUCUGUUCGGGCACUGAGGCACAGCCAUGGCAGCACAACUGAAGAGGCAAAAAGGACUUCACAAGUGCUUCCGAAAGUAGCAAGAAGAGGAGGAGAGCCGGCGUGGGGCGCACACCUGUGAUCCUGGCACUCGGGAGGCUGCAGCAGGAGGGUUGCGAGAAGUCACGUUACAGAAGGUCGGAAAAGUGAAGUGGGGCUGACCCACAGAAAUUCUUGGAUGCGAACCUAAGGCCAGUUUGGACCCCUACAGCAAACGCUGCGGAGCCAUCUGUGGUUGCUGAGUGACACGGGCACUUGCUUCACCCCCAGCUGUGGAGUCCUUGUGAACAAGCCCCACAAGGAAAGCAGAAAAUGAAAACUGCCAACGAUAGAGUAUCUCCAGGCAAGAGGAGCUACCUAAACCUCGGAGAUGUUCAGAGGUGUUUCUUCUUUUCUCCACUGGAAGAGCUGCCCAGCUCUGACACUGCUUCAUGGCUCCAUCAUGACUCUUGAUCCCUGUAACCACAAGAGUGUAGCCGACCCGCAGGACGUCCGACUGCAACAAGCUCCAUGCUCCUCACUCUAGCCCUGUAACCGAUGGUCUCACCCUGCUGGCUAAUCCAGGCCAGGCUGUCCUGCCUCACCUUUGCACCUCCUGCUUAGGCAUCACGUAAAAGCGGUAGCUCACAAGCACCUGGCUGUGUUGAGGGAGACGUCCCCGCCAGGGCCAGUGUGAAAUAAAGCUCUCCUCCGCCUCCAGA